AAUAACAUUCCAGGCUAGCUUCUGGAAGCAUAGCAUAUGGACCACUACUGACACAUGGUUUUAUGGUGUGCAUCAACUACCACGUUUUCUGUCUGUGGAUUAAGCUGUCCUCUUUCAUAGUUAUAACUUUAUCUUUAGCAGAAACCAGAAUCCUUUUCAAUUAUUUAGAAUUAAAUGUCUUUCAUUCCAAGUUCACCUUUUUUCUACCUAACUGAAGAUUCAAUUUUGCCCUGAAAUUAACCAAUCCAGCAUGUUGGGCUCUUGGAGCAGAAGUCAAGCCUAUGAAUCCUGACUUCAGAAAGGAAACGAUGGUGGUAAUCCAUUAGCGGAAGACAAAUCAGAAGCCAGUUUCUGUGUGUUUUAAAAUGAAGGCUACAGCUGGACAGUGUCUAUCACACUCACUUAAGGCAUUAUUACCUCAUUUAUUACAUAGACAAGAACUGAACAGUGGGUGCCUCAAAGACAUGAUCUCCACUGCAGGCAAUACAGGCCUCUACAAGGUCUGAAGACAAUGACUUCAACUACACGGCUACCUCCACCAGGUCCCAUAGAGGUGGGAAAACACUCAGAGCUCCUCUAGACAUAGAAAGGAAACAAAAUGACAAGUGGAAGGCUUCAGCCCAGACACUGUGAAAGUAAUCUAAGAGGGCUGAAAGCUUUGGCUCCCUGAGAACAAGAAAUGACAGUACAAGACCUACCCACUUGUAACAACUAAAUGCUUCUAACAAGAAAAAGUAACUAAGCAAAAAUAGGCAUCAAAGUUUUCUGACACUGGGAAACUGAUCCCUGGGAGAAGAGAACCAACACAGAAUACAUUAUCUGAUCUGGAGAUGCUUCAUGUGCACUGUGCACCUGCUGCUGGACAGGCUCUUCCAGACUCGUCGCUGAGAUCUGCUGGGCUGACAUGGCUGUCCACGCCUGUUGUUCCUUUAUUGAUUUUCUGUCUCAAUGAUCUAUUAUUGAAAAUAGAGAGCCGAGCUCUCCUACUAUUGUAUAUAUAUUGCUAAAUAUUUCUUCCCUCAGUUCUAAUAUCUGCUUCAUGUACAUAGGUAGGCUAGGGAGUGUAUAUUUACAACUACUCCAUGGAUAAAGGCUUACCAACUUCCUGUUAUUAUACAUGACCUGUGCACCUCAUGAGUUUGCGACAUAAACUCUCAUUUGUCUGACCUAACCUUUGGUUGCUACUUUGCGUGGUACUUCUUUUGCUACCCAUUCAUUUUCAGAGGGGUAUCUGGCUAAGAUCCAUGUCUGGUAGGCAGCACCGACAGCGGUCUUUCCUUAGCUCCAGUUUGACUUUCUGCUGCCUCAAUUAUCCGCAACUGACUCAACUCAACACCCACCACCUAGAUCAUCAUGACUGAGUAGCCAGGAUCAUCUGAAGUGCACAAUCCUUAUGACAUAUAUCCAAGGCCAUCAGCACCUGCCACAGCAACACAACAGCCAUGUUUCACUUCGCUCCAUCUCAUCACGGAGGUACCAGGUCACACCUCGGCACGAGAAGAGGAGUACACCCUGAGGUCCUUGGAAGAAAUCCACAUACACAGAACUUUAUUAUGGUAAAUUAUAGUUCUGUAAGUUCAGGCUAUUAGUCAGAACUUUUAUUACAGCAUAAUUAUAGUUAUUCUAUUAUAGCUAUUACUAUUAAUUUCCUAUACCUACCUUAUAAAUUGAACUAUCAUAAACUCACAUGUAUAAAAGAAAAUCAGGUUUAGCACCCCAGUGGUUUCAGGGCAUCCACUGGUCUCUUGGGCUGUGUGGCUAAGGCAGAGCUGCUGGAGUGGGGUUUUGUUCUGGGGAAUCCAUACAGCAACUCUAUAACUGGACAUGAUUACAGAACUGAAUCCAUUGACUUACUGCCAUCUUUCAUUGCGUUAUGUUGGCCCUUUUGCUUUCCUCCUCUUGUUCUGGCCUCUACGACACAGUCACUCGCCGACAGUGAUGCGCUUUGACUCCUCUGUCCCUACCCUUUGUGUAUCCACUACAUGGUUCCUGCUUACUCUGGGGCCUGUGUAAUUUACAGCAUCCACAGUCCAGUCUAGUUAAGUUAAUAACACACCACAAGGACACCAGGCCUCAGUUUCUCCACUCACAAUCUGUGCCUCUCAGAGCCUCCAUAGUGGAUGUCCAUUAUUAUAGCCAGCAAUACUGGUUUUUAAUACGUUGUCUCUGAAUUUUUAUGAGAAUUAUUAAUUUAUACAAGAUAAUACUUUGUCUCUGAAA
This is a long non-coding RNA of Mus musculus (house mouse), 2220 nucleotides long. RefSeq annotates it as RIKEN cDNA 4831440D22 gene. The record is from RefSeq and is a predicted model, not a curated record. The transcript is spliced from 2 exons. Lineage: Eukaryota; Metazoa; Chordata; Mammalia; Rodentia; Muridae.